CCUACGGGGUGCAGCAGUCGAGAAUCAUUCACAAUGGGGGAAACCCUGAUGGUGCGACGCCGCGUGAAUGAAGAAGGUCUUCGGAUCGUAAAGUUCUGUUCUUAGGGAAGAAGUCUUAGGUUGUGAAUAAUGACUUAAGGUGACGGUACCUAUGGAGAAAGCUCCGGCUAACUACGUGCCAGCAGCCGCGGUAAUACGUAGGGAGCGAGCGUUGUCCGGAAUUACUGGGCGUAAAGGGCGCGUAGGCGGGAACUUAAGUUAGAUGUGAAAACUCCGGGCUUAACCUGGAGACUGCAUUUAAAACUGGGUUUCUUGAGGGCAGGAGAGGAAAGUGGAAUUCCUAGUGUAGCGGUGAAAUGCGUAGAUAUUAGGAGGAACACCAGUGGCGAAGGCGACUUUCUGGACUGUACCUGACGCUGAGGCGCGAAAGCAUGGGGAGCGAACAGGAUUAGAUACCCGGGUAGUC
This 466-nucleotide ribosomal RNA is filed under the name uncultured bacterium. RNAcentral's name for it is "partial 16S ribosomal RNA". It matches the Rfam family "Bacterial small subunit ribosomal RNA", at positions 338 to 795 of the family's 1533-position model. The record is from RNAcentral.